This 253-nucleotide ribosomal RNA is filed under the name uncultured bacterium. RNAcentral's name for it is "partial 16S ribosomal RNA". It matches the Rfam family "Bacterial small subunit ribosomal RNA", at positions 524 to 776 of the family's 1533-position model. The record is from RNAcentral.
UACGGAGGGUGCGAGCGUUGCUCGGAAUCAUUGGGCGUAAAGCGUACGCAGGCGGCUCGAUAAGUCGGGUGUGAAAGCCCAGGGCUCAACCCUGGAAAUGCGCCCGAAACUGCCGAGCUUGAGUGCGGGAGAGGGAAGCGGAAUUCCUGGUGUAGAGGUGAAAUUCGUAGAUAUCAGGAGGAACACCGGUGGCGAAAGCGGCUUCCUGGCCCGAUACUGACGCUCAUGUACGAAAGCGUGGGGAGCAAACAGG